UUUCCGUAGGUGAACCUGCGGAAGGAUCAUUCACAAUAAGUGUUUUAUGGCACUUUUUUAAAUCCAUAUCCACCUUGUGUGCAAUGUCAGGGUUGAUUUUUCUCUCGAGAGGAUCAGCCCCAAACAUCAACUAUAUCUCAACUCUUUGUCUGAAAAAUAUAUGAAUAAAACAAUUCAAAAUACAACUUUCAACAACGGAUCUCUUGGCUCUC
RNAcentral lists this unclassified non-coding RNA (212 nucleotides) under plant metagenome. Its description in RNAcentral is "partial contains small subunit ribosomal RNA, internal transcribed spacer 1, and 5.8S ribosomal RNA". The record is from RNAcentral.